This is a non-coding RNA of Cricetulus griseus (Chinese hamster), 5984 nucleotides long. Lineage: Eukaryota; Metazoa; Chordata; Mammalia; Rodentia; Cricetidae. The record is from RefSeq and is a predicted model, not a curated record.
AUCAUCACUUCCUGUCUGUCUGUACAGACCCAGACCUCUAUGGUUAAGUAGUGGCUAGUUCCACCCUCUGAUCUUCAGGCAAGCUUUAAUUGUUAGAGUAUAAAAAAGAUGUUGAUGGGCUGCUUGCAAACAGGAACUUGCGGGAUUUCCUUGUUUCAAAUUUGCAUUAGAGUAGAGAACCACAUGAGCAUAGGUCUGGUCAGAUUUGCUUAAGACUUGUCCAUGACCAGAAUUUAGAUUUUCCCAAUAGGUAUUCUAAAUAUUUAAUCAUAACUUAUGGUGUAUUGCUUUAAAGCACAAGACUGUGAACUUUAGUGUCAAACGAAUCUAGCAUAUUAGCAUUAGAGUUUAAAUUUAGUUGGACCUCAUGAAAAGUUCUGGAAGAUGAGCUAACUUAAAUUGUGUUGACCACUCUUGUUGCAAGAUGAAGGAAACCUUCAUUUGAAUUUCAGAAUUAAAGAAAUGUCAUUGAUACAAAGACCCAGCAGACAGACGUGAAAUACCCCAUAAUUAUGUUGUUGCAGAUGCUACUUGCUAACUUAGGAGCUACAUUUAACUUCAUGACAUUUUUGAAUGGAAUGAAAACCCAUAAGCUACUUGUCUUUGUUAUACAAUAGGGAGGGCUGGCAACCUGAUUUCUAAAUUUUAAGUCACAGCUCCAGCUGACGAAAGUACUGAGUGGCUUUUGGUUAUUUUGAUCUUCAAAAAUAGCCCAAAACAUGUUUGGGAUCAGGGCUACCCAAGUUUUCCAUGAGAAGAAUGAAUUCCAAGAUUAAUGUAGGAUUUUGAAAAUCAUGCUUGGUCCUGAAGUUUAGAGUUAGUGAUUGGAGCAGAAAGAUUUGGGGUCCCUGGUGGGCUUUGUUUGAGUUCGUGGUCUCUUGCUGUUACUUCAUGGAUUGUGCUAUCCUUCCUGGUGGAAGCAGUAGCCCCUACUGCCCCAUGGGUGGCUGGGACCCCAUCUGUGUACUUAGCUUUGCUGCCUAGCGCUCAGGCACAUCAUUGCUUGGAUAAGCAAUGCUUGCUUUCACUGGAGCAGCCUCACAGUUUCCAUAUACUUCAGUACUGCUGUUGAAACCAGGAGUUCUGAAAAACUCUUAUUUCUUAUUGUCAGACUGUUGUUCUCAAUACUGCACUUUGCUUUCUUGCCCUGGUAUUGAUAUAUGUGUAAAUACAUGUUUUAUAAGUAAAAUUUGUUAACUUCAUUAGUAUCAUUAACUUAAACAUAAAAAUGAAUGUAUCAUAAUUUGAGGAAAUGAGUGAAAUGCUACUUUGGCUUUGUAGAUUAAACUUUGGAGGUCAGUGAUUGUUCCAGCUUUUAAAAGGAUAGAAGGAAGCUUUCCAGGGAGACAAGAGCUCCGGUGCUGCGUGCAAAUGUUUGCGCUUUCAUUUUUCUGAGAAAGUUGCUUCGGGUACUUUGUAUUUGAGUGUCAUGUCAGAGGUUUCAUUUCACGAUUGUUUGCUCAUUCACAUAUAUUUUUAUUUUUAGCUCUAAGCAAAAGGCAUGAGGCCUUAGCCGAAAUGAGAUGGUUUGAGGUCAUCCGGUUUCUAGACGUGUGCAGUCACCUGGUCCUGAAAGCCCUCCACACAGAAUGACUGGUAACAAUAGCAGCAAAAACAUCAGAAAAUCACAGGCAAAUCAAACAUUUUAGGUUUGCAAUUUUUUUUGGUGAUGGCAUGUUCAGAAUCUUGGAUCCCUAAGUUGAAUGUUGGAAAUAUGUAGGAGCCUUGGAAAUUAUGUUGUUUUCAUAUUUUAAUGUUUUGGUAGGUGAAUCAGUAGACUAAUAUAUGUAUGUAAAGGAACUCUGUACUUGGAAGCUGACAGGUGCGUCUCAGGAUUGUCACCUGUCUGAGUGCUGUGCUCUGGAGACAGUCUGCUUUGGAGGUUCUCUGUGGACCUCUCAUGUUCUGGGCAAUGUGGGGUUCCUCCUGUCGUGCUUUGUGUCGCUGGUUUUCUUGCCUACCUACCUUGCAAUGUGAGCUGCUUAGAUCACAGGGAUCAUUGAUCAAGUGACAAUCUUAAAUGUAGUAAUUACAGAAUUUCUACCUGGAAAUCAUCUCACAAAGUCUGCAUUAGAAUAUGUAGGUUUUGUUUUGUUUUUAUAAAUGUAUGUGUGGCCAAUGCUGCCAGUUUUUAAAAUUAGACACUAUUAUCAACCAGAGGUGCUCACAUUGAGGGAAUAAGGCUGUUUGCUCUCACCUCCUUCCUCUCUCCCUCCUGUGAGGUGGAAAAGUUAGUGGGAAGGGCUUCAUGCUCUGUGCAAAGGGGAGAGACCAUGAAAGGCCUCAGUUUCCUGGAAGGACUAAUUUUCCUAAACAAUAACAACAAAAAUCAACAGAUUUGGCUCCCUUCCAAGUGUGGGCCUCUCUCAUGUAGAAUGUAGGUGGGAGAGUAUUCAACCACCGACAGAUGGAUGUGUGGUAUGAAGCACAUAUUACAGUGUCUGUAGUCAUUGGUGGUUGGUUGUCUUUUGCCUGCCUCCUCUGCACCUGCUGGAAUUCAAAGACUUGAGGAUGCUUAGUUACUUCAGUAAUUAACUCUGGAGCUUAGUUAAUUUAGUGGUCAAUAUGAGUGCAUCCCUACUCUUCAUUCAGUGGUCAAUAUGAAUGUGUCCCUGCUCUUUACACCCUGACUGGCGAAUAGUGAUUGUAAAGACCACAGUUAGAAAAACUUGGAAGGAUGAAGAAAAUGCAGGAAACUGGAGAUGCUGAAUAGUAAGUAGCUCAGUAGAGUUUGUGGUGCAUUUUAUUAUUGGUGACUUGUCCAUUGUUCCUGGAGUCCUCACAUGCCUGUAGCCACAGUUACCCUCAGAUUUCUGUAGAGGUUUUCAGAAACUGAAGGGCUAUGCUAUUGCCAGUGGCCCCCUUUUAAUUAAAAUUCAAUUACACCAUUUCCUCUCCUUGCCUUUCUUCCCGCCAGUCUUCUCCCUUUUCAAUGGGAUGAAUCACAUAAUACUUACGUAAUAGGAUGAACACUGGAAAACACUAAGUAGACUUGUUUUUAAUUGCUACAUAUCAAUGUCCACAUGUGUUGUCUAUUAGCUGCUUUCUGGUUACAACUGGCUUUUAAAAACUCUCCCUCCAUGGUAUUUCUGUCAAUAGAAGUUUCCUUUUAGCCAGUUCUAGCCACAGUAUGGAUUGGGCCUGGGUAUCUAAUAUACCCAGAAGGAAUUAGCCAGCCAGGAAAAAAAUUUGUCCCCACCAGAAUAAAUAUUUUAAAGACCCUUCAAUUCUGAAAACCAAGAGUACAAAUAAAAGAGACUUAAGAAAGAGAAAACUUAGGAGACUGAUGGUACAAAGUGAGGGUGGGCAGCACAUGGAACAUCACAGAGUGGAUCUGUGGAACCAGAGCUCAUCCUGGAGGGAAGAGAAUGCUGGGAUGUGUUGGACAGGAGGCAUUCCGUGUUGCCAUGGGUAGCUUUCACGAGCAUGCCAUGGUAUUUAAGAGUAGUGAGGCCAGUGUUUGAAAAUACUGAAGUAUUGCCUAAUGGUGAGUUUAAGUUAUUCUGGCAUGUGCUAAAUGUGUUUGUGGCUCAAUGGUUAAUUUAAUUUCAAAUACAUAUCUUAACUAUUAGAGAAAAUACAUUGCCAAUAAAACUUCUGUUCCUAUGUGUAACUUUACAAAAUAGUAUAGCGUGUCAUGUACAGUGGAGAUCUGAGGGCAUGGGUAUGGUCAUAAUGGCCACCUCCCAGAAACUUCUGAAUUCAAACUUUUAAGACUGUACUCAAUUUUGUUUUACUUACAGUACAAAUUAGAGAGCAUUUUAGUGUGUCUCUCAUGGGAAGUCUGUCCCUCCUGGGUCACUGUGCUUCACAGCCGUGGCAUAUCACAUUCCAAAGAGUACAGAUCUUUGAGUUUCAUAUAUUAACAGAGGGACCCAGAAAGGUGAGUGGAGCAGCAACCUACUGAGUUGGGGAAGUUGUAGAGAAACUCCACAUGGAAAUCCGCUGGAAGCUGGGGCCCCUUCACCAGCCCAGCCACAAUGGCAGAGCAUAUCUGUGCGGUUUCUGCACAGACAGGGACAUUGGUGUGUGAGGAUGCCCUGAUAUACGGGGUCCUGUUACAUGCUCUGACUUUGAUCUCCUCCCUCAGUGGUUCUCUGCUUCCAAAGGUGGGACCUCCAGGCCUGAAGGCUGUCCACUGCCUCUUCACACAGAAACCUGCAGCCACAAGAUGGAAGCCUCCUGGAGAAAGGGAGCACAUCCUGCAAAGGCCACUCCCGAGGACAAGUGGAGAAGGUGGAGCCUGAGGCAUAGGGCCUGGUGGUGUCUUCUGUUGAUUGAUGUUUCUUUCAUAAAGAGUUGAAUAGUAAUGCCUUUUAACAUGAGUAUACCGCCCCCCCCCAAAUUAUUGUUAAAAGUUUUCUCAAGUGUGACUUUUUAUUAUGUCAGGAUAGUAAGUUCUUGGUGUCAUAUAUUUGUUAAAUUAUGUAAUAGUGACUAGAGAUUUGGGACUCUGUUAUGACUUGUGAAUUUGAAGCACAUUUUCAGGAAAAUCAUCAACAUUUCCAGUCAACUCGUUUUCAUUCUUUUCAGCUUCUCUGGUAUGUAGUCCUUUCUGAGGUUGCCCGCUGGAGGAUAUUCCCCCCCCCCCAUUUUCUGUUCCUGUUCAGUGACUGCCUCUGGCUUUCACCACUCAAAGCCUAAUUUGUCCGAAAGUCCAUUUGAACAGCCUUCCUCUCUCCUUGGUGCAAUCGCAGGUCAUCUCGUACUGUACAGCUUCACUCUGAAGGUGAAGUCAAGAGGCUUGAAGAAACACUGCCACUAGGACUAAGUAGACAGAAGAGUGUCACCAGGGUGACACCAGCAGAGCUUCCUGGGUGGCCUGCUGUUUGUAUCUUGAUGAAUUUGACUGUCAUUUACAAACUGGAUGUAUAGACAUAAAGUAAUCUCUUAAGUUACAUCAUUAAUGUCAGUACCAGUCACCUCUGAGGCAUUUGUGUUUGUGUGUUCUAGAGUUGAUGACCCAUUCUGCUGCAAAGGAUCCAGGUUAGUUAACCAGGUUAGUUAACCAGGAUAUAGCAUUUAAUAGCAUCCGAGGUGUUUUAUGUCUCUAGAGUUUGCUGCUUUGGACUUUUGUGGUUUAUCAUCCACAAGAAGAGGGUACUGGAAGGAGAGCUUAAGUUGAUCCAUGUCUCAAACACAUGCUUUCUGUGGUAACAAUAAAAACAUUGAAUACAAAGGGUUCAAGAGUUUGUUGGAAUCCUGCUGCAUCUUUGCUGCUCCUCUUCCUAGACAAUUCCAUCAUGGUUCCCUCUAGUUCUUCAAGAUGGCUCUGUUUGGCUCCCAAGUCCACAUAGACGUAUCAACACAGAGUCCAACCUUCUUUCCCAUUGUCAGGUUGCAUUCGGCUGAAAACAGGAGCUUCACAUCAGCUUGCUGACUCAUUCCUGACCAUCUUCCUGAAGAGAAGUAGCACUUCUAGACACUGGGACCUUGGCUGUCUAAGGGAUGCCUCUAGAAAGCUCACAGUACUGUAUUCUAAACAUGGCCUCUCACUGCUAUUUUGGUUUCCAGGGGAAACUUCUCCAACUGCCGAGCUAUGAAGCCAAAAGGAGCCUAGCCUACCUCAGGCAUGGGAAGACCCAGAGCUGAUUUAUGACUUUGGAAGAUGGCUAGGACCUGAAGAGAGCUAGAGGACACUACUGUGUCUCCCUUGGUAGCUAAAACAAACAAAAACAAAACAAAAAAGAAUCACAUUAGAGAAAAUGUCUGUGUCAGCAGAAUUUGUCCAAACCAUAGGCCAGCUUUUUUAGGACCACAUGAACCUUCAUUGAACCUACAUUGACUAUCCAGGUGUGUUUGUAAGCUAUCAUGGAAUCCUUGGAAAACUUCGUUACACUAACAUUAAAAAUAAGAUUUUAAGUUUUUACAUAUACAUUUCAGAAACAAUACAGAUGUGUUUCUGUGGACAGGCUAUCCCGCUUAUAAUAAAUUUCUGACUCUUUCUUAAUAAAAAUUAAAUGGUUCAGUUAUUUAAAACCUAA